UCCUGACCGACUGCGAUAGUACACCUCUGUAGAACGUCUCACUUCUCAGGUGUAGAAUAACCAACUGAAGUGUGUAGAAUACGGCCUGGUCUCUGACAACCCACGACCGACAACCAGUUAACUUUUUUCUGUUCACUUGUUCCUGUCUGUAUGGUUGGCUGUUAAUGUUUAUUGAAGAGAAAAAUUAACAAAAUUCUAUAUUUUAAAAGAGUACGGGUAGGAGUAUCUACCUAUAGAAAAGUAUCUUAAACUUGUUCUUCUAACUUAUAUCGUAUGUGUUUCGAUUUAAUAGCGAUCCGUAAGGUGGUGUUGUUGCUGUCGAUUACUUUUGAUCGUGAGUCACUAUCACGAUGAUAGUACGGUAAUAAGUAAAUAAUAGUUGUCGAAGUAGAAUCAUUAGUUAAAAGAAAGUUCUGUUGACGUCAAUGACCAUCACGAUUCAGUAUUGCGAUUGCCCACAAAGAAAGAUACGAUCGUGUAAAUAUCAAUGACCUUUAACGAAAAAGUUUAACAACAUAAAGGAAACAACAUCAGUAACUGGUUCUGGUAUUUUUAUGUCAACUUAUCAUUUUUGUUAAAGUAAAUAAAACAAAACAAACUAACGAAAAAAAAUAAAUAA
Long non-coding RNA from Eupeodes corollae, 619 nucleotides. RefSeq lists it as uncharacterized. The record is from RefSeq and is a predicted model, not a curated record. The transcript is spliced from 2 exons. NCBI's taxonomy places the organism in Eukaryota, Metazoa, Arthropoda, Insecta, Diptera, Syrphidae.